CCUACGGGAGGCAGCAGUGAGGAAUCUUCCACAAUGGGGGCAACCCUGAUGGAGCGACACCGCGUGAAGGAUGAAGGCCUAACGGUUGUAAACUUCUUUUCUGGGGGAGCAUAAUGAGAGUACUUCAGGAAUAAGGGACGGCUAAAUACGUGCCAGCAGCCGCGGUAAUACGUAUGUCUCAAGCGUUAUCCGGAAUUACUGGGUGUAAAGGGUUUGUAGGUUGUUUGUUAAGUAGGGUAUGAAAGACCGGAGCUCAACUCCGUGUUUGUAUUCUAAACUAGCUAACUAGAGUUAGGGAGAGGUAAGCGGAAUUUUAAGUGUAGGGGUGCAAUCCGUAGAUACUUAGAAGAACACCAAAAGCGAAGGCAGCUUACUGGAACUAUACUGACGCUGAAAAACGAAAGCGUGGGGAGCGAAAAGGAUUAGAUACCCUUGUAGUCCACGCCCUAAACGAUGAUAACUUAGUGUUGGGGGUAACCUCAGUGCUGAAGCUAACGCGUUAAGUUAUCCACCUGAGGAGUACGGUCGCAAGAUUAAAACUCAAAUGAAUUGACGG
RNAcentral lists this ribosomal RNA (556 nucleotides) under uncultured bacterium. Its description in RNAcentral is "bacterial SSU rRNA". It matches the Rfam family "Bacterial small subunit ribosomal RNA", at positions 338 to 916 of the family's 1533-position model. The record is from RNAcentral.